This 367-nucleotide ribosomal RNA is filed under the name Escherichia coli. Its description in RNAcentral is "partial 23S ribosomal RNA". It matches the Rfam family "Bacterial large subunit ribosomal RNA", at positions 1200 to 1569 of the family's 2925-position model. Lineage: Bacteria; Pseudomonadati; Pseudomonadota; Gammaproteobacteria; Enterobacterales; Enterobacteriaceae. The record is from RNAcentral.
CUGCGGCAGCGACACUAUGUGUUGUUGGGUAGGGGAGCGUUCUGUAAGCCUGUGAAGGUGGCCUGUGAGGGUUGCUGGAGGUAUCAGAAGUGCGAAUGCUGACAUAAGUAACGAUAAAGCGGGUGAAAAGCCCGCUCGCCGGAAGACCAAGGGUUCCUGUCCAACGUUAAUCGGGGCAGGGUGAGUCGACCCCUAAGGCGAGGCCGAAAGGCGUAGUCGAUGGGAAACAGGUUAAUAUUCCUGUACUUGGUGUUACUGCGAAGGGGGGACGGAGAAGGCUAUGUUGGCCGGGCGACGGUUGUCCCGGUUUAAGCGUGUAGGCUGGUUUUCCAGGCAAAUCCGGAAAACCAAGGCUGAGGCGUGAUGA